Paramisgurnus dabryanus is the source of this 4192-nucleotide long non-coding RNA. RefSeq lists it as uncharacterized. Lineage: Eukaryota; Metazoa; Chordata; Actinopteri; Cypriniformes; Cobitidae. The record is from RefSeq and is a predicted model, not a curated record.
UCAUAUAACUGUAUCAUGUGGAUUGCUACAGGUUUGACUAAAGUGUCUCGUAGUUUAUUUAGCUUACAGAAAAUACCACAACCAUGUAAACCAUGUACUGUGGAUGAUUAUGAUGAUCAUUCAGUCCCAUGGUACAUAUCAGAGUAGGAUUAUAUUGCCAUCUGAUGUCAUCAAUCUACUUUGUUGGCGCAACGGUACAUUUCAGCACAUUGAAACAAACCUGACUCUAUCUCUCACACAUACCCACACAUGGGUCAACCAGUCCUUUAGCAUUCAGUGUAACAUUAGGAAUCUCAAGGUGACACUGAUGUCAUCAGCAUUAACUGGAGAGCAAGCUGCAAGAGAGAUAAGCAAACCCAGCCAGAAUUCAAUGCAUCUGCUUUAUUCUCGGAAGUGUGUUUGUAUUUGUCUGUGUGUGUUUUUGCACGUAUCCGUGACAACUGUUCCCAGAAGUGGGUUCAUGUGCACACGCCUUGUCUUUCUCUCAGACACACACUGCAUGAAAAGAGCUGUAUACGGACAAAUACGGAAUGGGAAAUCCCUGCUAAACUUUAGGUUUGCCAGAUUUUUGAGGCAGAGUGCUUGGAAAGGUAAUACACCAAAGUAAACCCGUGAAACAUCCAGAAACCUUACGUUUGUGGAUGUAUGUAGGAACUGGUGGAAGUUUCCAGGAAUCCUUACAGCUGGUUGUGAGGAGCGGUGGGUGUGAGGUGUGAACGGCUUUUUAUAUGUUAAUGACCCACAGGUAGAGGUGUCUUCUUUGUUUUCAGAGCUGAGUGGGGUGGGGUGGGGGGUUAACCAUGUCUCUUUAAGACAGCACAUACAGUAUUGUGGUACAUAAAAACUGUGUUUUCUAAAUAUGUUUAUUAUUAAUAUAAUUUAAUUAGUCUAUUUAAGAAACUAAGCAUCAUUCAAAAUAACUAAAAUUCAAUGGACACAAUUACCAUUUUAAUGUGUGAAAAUUAUGUCUCUGACUCAAGAGAAAUGCAACAAAUAUUAUUUCAGAAUAUAUAUUUCCAACACUUUGAAAACAUGUCUCCAACUGCCCUAGGUCAGAAUAUUGUGAACGUAUCUCUCAAUGCUGCAUACAUCGUUUAAAGGAAGCCGUUCAAAUGACAUCAUGUAACUCAUUUUUGCUAGCUAGGAUGUUGAUAAAUUAGUCAGUGAAAUGUAAAGCUGCUUAUUUUUGCUGAUGUCUCAUGAUUUGAAGUUCACUGUUUCUAUUGUUAUUAUAAUUCUACCCUAACAUUUCAUUAAAUCUUUUAAAAUAGAAACAAAAAUAUCAAUAGACAGGUCCAUAAUCUAAAAGACAGUCUUUCACAUGUGGAUGCAAAACAUGUUGGGUGAAACAGACUGACAAACUCGGGUAAACAUAUCUGCAGAUACCUGUCAGCUACUGUACUUCUAGUCCAGAGGUGCCCAAAGUUGGCCCACAAAAGACCUUACAUUUUUUUUUAUGUUUCAUGCAUACUUGAAGGUGUAUAAAAUGCAUCACAAAACCUAAUGAACUCGGGUACUAUAGGCUAAAAAUGAAGAGGUUGCGGCAGUGGCACACAGAGAAAAGGAUAUUUAAAAUUGAUUGGCAAAACGAUUUCUUUUUCCUACAAACAGCCUUGGAAAAUAAAACUGCAUUAGUUAUGCAUAAACAGAGUAAUGUUUGCUUAUUUAUUUUUUAAAAUAUUAGAAAAUUAUAAAUUAGGGGUUAUCAGGGCAACUUUAAUUUUAAUAUAACACAAGAACAUUUACUUUUGGCCCACGGCCCUCAGUCAGGUUUGGCCCUUGUAAGGAAAAUGUUCGGGCACCAAUGAAUGUUCUAGUCUAUCUGAGGAGGUAACUUUUAGCAUAUGAUAAUGCAUGCUUGCACAAAGUCAGACCACAUAUUAUAAUGUUUGUCUUCAAUCAAUCAAUUUAAACAAAAGAGAUGGGGACUUUAUAAUAUAAUAAGGGUCCAUAUAUCACAGUGAAAAAAGACAUACAUGUAUUUUUACUUUAACAUGAACUAAUGCUGAGUUACAGCAUAUCCUAAUAAUAAACUAUUGAAGAGUCAUCAUUAACUACGACAUGUUUUUCAUUGUUAGUUAAUGCAGUCAUUUACAAUAAAUUAAUUUGAGUUCAUGUUGUAGUUAAGUAAGUUCAGUAAGUUACAUGUCUUAACUCAGCAUUAGUUUAUAUUUACUAAUAUUUAAGUAAGAAUUCAUUUAGGUAUACGUUCAAUGUUUCCAAUGAUGAGCAGUUAAUCCACUAAACCCAGAGAUAAUUCCUGAGGCAUAUUAAAGAGUUUUGUAUUUCAUCAAGAAGGUGCUGCUGAUUCACAAAGAUUUUAUAUUUAAGAAAAUCUGAGCAUCAUUCCAAAUAACUGUUAACAUGUUUGUCAACUAAACAUGUUUUGUAAACGUAAUAAACUUUAUAAAAAUAUUUUUUAUUUUUUAUUAAUAAUCAAGUAUAAAGAACAAUGCAUAGUGUGAAAACGCGGAUUAUAAAAAGUAUAUUAAAGAAAAGGACUACAUUUCCCAGAAUGCACCUGCACCUACUCAUCUGCCCCCACCCUUCAGGUGCGACUGCUCAACCUAUGGGCUUGACGGGAAAAUUCAAAAUCGCGAACCGUUACUGCCUGGACUACUCCGUCUCUUGUUUGUUUGUUUGCUCAUUAACAGUAAGAGGUCAUGUACACUGUGGUCAACUUUGUGGACGAUGAAGAGGUUUCUGGGUAAAGCUGAUAGAAAUAUAAUGAAGUAACAGUGAAAGCUAAAACAUCAGACUGAUCCAGACACUGAAGAAAUUGAUGUCACUGCAAUCUGGCCAAAAUGAUACAACUAUAUUGAAGUAACCUACUGUAAUGAAGCUGCAGAACAACACAGAGACUCUGAGGACAUCAACACAGAAAAUUAAGGCUCCAAAGAGAUGUCUGUCCAGAUGAGGGUGCAUCAACGUUACCUUUGCUGACAAGUAUAUGCUUUACAAUGUAAAACCUAACAGUUAACUUAACUCAAACCAUUUAAGGAAAUCGGUUGCCUUAACCCAUUAAGUUUAAAAAAAAAACAUACAUUUGAGUACUGUGAACUUAAGUCUUGUGCAAUAAUGCACUUAUAUUUAGUUAGUGUGAACUUAAAUAUAAGUGCAUAACUGCAUGUGACUCAAUUUGUUUAAGAUCACAGUACUCAAAUCUAUGUGUUUUAAAACUUAAAUGGUUUAAUGCAACCGGUUUUCUUAAAUGGUUUGAGUUUAGUUAACUUUUAGGUUUUACAGUGAGAAAUUCUUGAAUAAUUCCAAGACAGAGCUCUGCAAUUGUAUCUAUCUGCAAUUGGAUUUUUAUCUUGUUUUUAGUAGAAAAACUAAAAAUUCUUAAAUCAAGAUGUAUUUUCUUGAUGAGCAAAAUUACCUAAGAAAAUGUCUAGUUUUUAGACAAAAAUAUACAAUUUAAGUAAAUUUGUGCCUAAACAAGCAAAAAUAUCUAACAAUGGGGUGAGAAAAUUGUGCUUGAAUUAAGUUUUUAAGAAAAAAGAAAACUUAAGAUUUUUUCUCACACCAUUGGCAGAUAUUUUUGCUUGUUUUAAGCACAAAUUCACUUAAAUUGUGUGCAUUUAUUUAUUUUGUCUAAAACUAGACUUAUUUUCUUAGUUCAUUUUGUUCAUCAAGAAAAAGCAUUUUAUUUAAAUAAUAUUUCUACUGAAAACGAGACAAAAAUACUAUGUAAGAAAGUCAUUAUUUUGCAGUGUAGGACUGAUUUCUUGAACAACAACUAUAUUGAUCUUGCUUUAUUUUAUUUAAAUAUUUACUACAUUACAGUGGCAGGUGGUGACUUCUUUUUUUGUGAGCACUCGAUGCAAAGUUUGUCACAACAUGUAUAUAGCCAGUCAUUUGUGUGGUUCAAAAUAUGUGUUCUGCGUGUAUGUGCAUCACGUGUUUUGACUAAACCCGUGAUGCACAUGGUUUACAUGAAGCAACAAACACAUUUUAAAAACACAAGCAACACACAUGACACUCCGAACACUUAUUUUGAAUUUGCACCCCUCGGAUGCGCAGUCACGAGCCGCCACUGCUACAUUACAUUGUACUGUUUUGAAUGUAAUUUUUAUUGUUGCUUUUAUUUUGUUUUAUUUUACUCUAAUAUUGCUUUCUCUGUCUGUAUAUUUAUGAGUUUAAAUAGUAUUGUUUAUGUAUGCAACUUUUAAUAUUUGUGUAUAAUAUUAUU